Long non-coding RNA from Lates calcarifer (barramundi perch), 1362 nucleotides. RefSeq lists it as uncharacterized. NCBI's taxonomy places the organism in Eukaryota, Metazoa, Chordata, Actinopteri, Centropomidae. The record is from RefSeq and is a predicted model, not a curated record. The transcript has 4 exons.
CCUUGCGAUAGAAUCGGCGGAGACGGGGUCACCGAUUUGACGGCAUUGCCCGCGAUCAUGGAGACAUUGUCCAUGAUCACAGAGACAGCGUCUAUGAUCUCAGAGACAUCGUCCAUGAUCACAAAGAUAUUGUCCAUGAUCACAGAGACUUUGUCCAUAAUCUCAGAGACACUGUCUGCGAUCACAGAGACGUAGUCCACGAUCACAGAGAGUCUUCAUACAAUGAAGAAGUUCUUUGAGACCAGGACAGAGGCCUCCAGGUGUCACCACUUUGUCCACGACAUCGCCCACGAUCGCAGAGACUUUGUCCGUGAUCGGAGAGACAUUGUUGAGGAUGAGGGAGACAUCGUCCAUGAUCAGAGACAGUUGUCCAUGAUAACAGAGACCUUGUUAAAGAUGAGAGAGACGUUGUCCAUGAUCAGAGACAUUGUCCCAUGCUUUGUAGAGACCUCACCGAUUUGACGGCAUUGCCCGCGAUCAUGGAGACAUUGUUGAUGAUCACAGAGACACUGUCUAUGAUCUCAGAGACAUCGUCCAUGAUCACAGAGACUUUGUCCAUAAUCUCGGAGACAUUGUCCAUGAUCACAGAAAGUCUUCGAACACUGAAGAAGUUCUUUGAGACCAGGACAGAAGCCUCCAGCUGAAUUCACGGAACAGAAUCCACCAAAGAUGAAGAAGGAGAAGAUGACAGCACCUGAAGACCUGAAGUGAAUGAAAGACAACAAAAGUGUUACAGCAUUGAUAAUUAGAUAAGACUUCCACCGUCUAACUGCUGUAAACAAUGUUGGUUUCCUGUUUGAGUGAAAACAGUUGGUUUUUCUCUACCAUCUGUACUGUAGUCAUGGGCAAAGACUAAUGCGUCCUACUUCAACACCUGUGAGAACAUUUAACUGCUUAUGAUAAAGUAUUUAAUUAAUAAUUGUAUCAGAAGCAGUUAAAUAAUCACAAAGAUGCUCAGUAGACAUAUUUAUCUUUGGAAAAUGUGCUCAUAACUACAUAAACCCUAACCGGCUCUCCUUGUGGUCAAAUGUCUGUCAUUAUCUUUGCUGUGAUUUGUUAAAUGUUGUCUGGAAUAAAAUUUCUCCCCAAACUUUUGAGUUGAAUUUCUCUAUUUUGAAACUGAUGUUAUACAAAUCAUGUUAUGCAUUUUAUUUAAAACAUAAAAAUAUAUUAUUUUAAGUUUUAUAUUUAUUUUUUGUGGUUUUAAAUUAUUUUUUUUCUGUUUUAGUAGACUUAUUGUACUCAGCUUUUUAAUGGGUUUGAUACUUGUUUAGAUUAUUUUUUACAGGUUUUAUGCUUAAUUCUUAAGCGUAUUUUAAAUAUAUAUAUAUAUAUUUGAAAAGGUUGAAUAUUUAAAGGUUU